GCAAGUCGAACGGUAACAGGAAAUAGCUUGCUAUUUUGCUGACGAGUGGCGGACGGGUGAGUAAUGCUUGGGAAUUUGCCUUGUUGUGGGGGACAACAGUUGGAAACGACUGCUAAUACCGCAUAAUCUCUACGGAGCAAAGGUGGCCUCUAUUUAUAUGCUAUCGCGAUGAGAUGAGCCCAAGUGGGAUUAGCUAGUUGGUAAGGUAAUGGCUUACCAAGGCGACGAUCCCUAGCUGGUCUGAGAGGAUGAUC
RNAcentral lists this ribosomal RNA (254 nucleotides) under uncultured bacterium. RNAcentral's name for it is "partial 16S ribosomal RNA". It matches the Rfam family "Bacterial small subunit ribosomal RNA", at positions 57 to 305 of the family's 1533-position model. The record is from RNAcentral.